This 490-nucleotide ribosomal RNA is filed under the name uncultured bacterium. RNAcentral describes it as "partial 16S ribosomal RNA". It matches the Rfam family "Bacterial small subunit ribosomal RNA", at positions 30 to 507 of the family's 1533-position model. The record is from RNAcentral.
AUUGAACGCUGGCGGCAGGCCUAACACAUGCAAGUCGAACGGUAACAGGAAGCAGCUUGCUGCUUCGCUGACGAGUGGCGGACGGGUGAGUAAUGUCUGGGAAGCUGCCUGAUGGAGGGGGAUAACUACUGGAAACGGUAGCUAAUACCGCAUAAUGUCGCAAGACCAAAGAGGGGGACCUUCGGGCCUCUUGCCAUCGGAUGUGCCCAGAUGGGAUUAGCUUGUUGGUGGGGUUACGGCUCACCAAGGCGACGAUCCCUAGCUGGUCUGAGAGGAUGACCAGCCACACUGGAACUGAGACACGGUCCAGACUCCUACGGGAGGCAGCAGUGGGGAAUAUUGCACAAUGGGCGCAAGCCUGAUGCAGCCAUGCCGCGUGUAUGAAGAAGGCCUUCGGGUUGUAAAGUACUUUCAGCGGGGAGGAAGGGAGUAAAGUUAAUACCUUUGCUCAUUGACGUUACCCGCAGAAGAAGCACCGGCUAACUCCGUG